This 497-nucleotide ribosomal RNA is filed under the name uncultured bacterium. RNAcentral's name for it is "partial 16S ribosomal RNA". It matches the Rfam family "Bacterial small subunit ribosomal RNA", at positions 28 to 507 of the family's 1533-position model. The record is from RNAcentral.
GAUGAACGCUGGCGGCGUGCCUAAUACAUGCAAGUCGAGCGAACAGACGAGGAGCUUGCUCCUCUGACGUUAGCGGCGGACGGGUGAGUAACACGUGGAUAACCUACCUAUAAGACUGGGAUAACUUCGGGAAACCGGAGCUAAUACCGGAUAAUAUAUUGAACCGCAUGGUUCAAUAGUGAAAGACGGUUUUGCUGUCACUUAUAGAUGGAUCCGCGCCGCAUUAGCUAGUUGGUAAGGUAACGGCCUACCAAGGCAACGAUGCGUAGCCGACCUGAGAGGGUGAUCUGCCACACUGGAACUGAAACACGGUCCAGACUCCUACGGGAGGCAGCAGUAGGGAAUCUUCCGCAAUGGGCGAAAGCUUGACGGAGCACCGCCGCGUGAGUGAUGAAGGUCUUCGGAUCGUAAAACUCUGUUAUUAGGGAAGAACAAAUGUGUAAGUAACUAUGCACGUCUUGACGGUACCUAAUCAGAAAGCCACGGCUAACUACGUG